Molecule: ribosomal RNA, 487 nt
Filed under: uncultured bacterium
Lineage: Bacteria
Description: bacterial SSU rRNA
Rfam family: Bacterial small subunit ribosomal RNA
Source: RNAcentral
CUACGUGCCAGCAGCCGUGGUAAUACGUAGGUGGCAAGCGUUGUCCGGAAUUAUUGGGCGUAAAGCGCGCGCAGGCGGAUCUGCCAGUCUGUCUUAAAAGUUCGGGGCUCAACCCCGUGAUGGGAUGGAAACUACAGAUCUAGAGUAUCGGAGGGGAAAGUGGAAUUCCUAGUGUAGCGGUGAAAUGCGUAGAUAUUAGGAGGAACACCAGUGGCGAAGGCGACUUUCUGGACGAUCACUGACGCUGAGGCGCGAAAGCCAGGGGAGCGAACGGGAUUAGAUACCCCGGUAGUCCUGGCCGUAAACGAUGGGUACUAGGUGUAGGAGGUAUCGACCCCUUCUGUGCCGGAGUUAACGCAAUAAGUACCCCGCCUGGGGAGUACGACCGCAAGGUUGAAACUCAAAGGAAUUGACGGGGGCCCGCACAAGCGGUGGAGUAUGUGGUUUAAUUCGACGCAACGCGAAGAACCUUACCAGGUCUUGACAU